UACGGAGGGUGCAAGCGUUAUCCGGAUUCACUGGGUUUAAAGGGUGCGUAGGUGGGUCUGUAAGUCAGUGGUGAAAUCUCCAAGCUUAACUUGGAAACUGCCGUUGAUACUAUAGGUCUUGAAUGUUGUGGAGGUGAGCGGAAUAUGUCAUGUAGCGGUGAAAUGCUUAGAUAUGACAUAGAACACCAAUUGCGAAGGCAGCUCACUACACAAAUAUUGACACUGAGGCACGAAAGCGUGGGGAUCAAACAGG
RNAcentral lists this ribosomal RNA (253 nucleotides) under uncultured bacterium. RNAcentral's name for it is "partial 16S ribosomal RNA". It matches the Rfam family "Bacterial small subunit ribosomal RNA", at positions 524 to 776 of the family's 1533-position model. The record is from RNAcentral.